GAUGAACGCUGGCGGCGCGCCUAACACAUGCAAGUCGAACGAUUAAAGCACCUUCGGGUGUGUAUAAAGUGGCGAACGGCUGAGUAACACGUGGGCAACCUGCCCCUUUCAUUGUGAUAGCCACGGGAAACCGUGGAUAAUACCGAAUACUUCGAGACUUCCGCCUUGAAGACUCGAGAAAGCUCCGGCGGGGAGGGAUGGGCCCGCGGCCUGUUAGCUUGUUGGUGGGGUAACGGCCUACCAAGGCAAUGAUGGGUAGCUGGGUUGAGGGACCGACCCGCCAGAUUGGGACUGAGAAACGGCCCAGACUCCUACGGGGGGCAGCAGGGGGGAAUCUUGCACAAUGGGCGAAAGCCUGAUGCAGCGACGCCGCGUGCGGGAUGAAGGCCUUCGGGUUGUAAACCGCUUUCAGCAGGGACGAGGCGAAAGUGACGGUACCUGCAGAAGAAGCCCCGGCUAAAUACGUG
This 467-nucleotide ribosomal RNA is filed under the name uncultured bacterium. RNAcentral describes it as "partial 16S ribosomal RNA". It matches the Rfam family "Bacterial small subunit ribosomal RNA", at positions 28 to 507 of the family's 1533-position model. The record is from RNAcentral.